RNAcentral lists this ribosomal RNA (497 nucleotides) under uncultured bacterium. RNAcentral's name for it is "partial 16S ribosomal RNA". It matches the Rfam family "Bacterial small subunit ribosomal RNA", at positions 28 to 507 of the family's 1533-position model. The record is from RNAcentral.
GAUGAACGCUGGCGGCGUGCCUAAUACAUGCAAGUCGAGCGAACAGAUGAGGAGCUUGCUCCUCUGACGUUAGCGGCGGACGGGUGAGUAACGCGUGGAUCCCCUACCUAUAAGACUGGUAUAACUUCGGGAAUCCGGAGCUAAUACCGGAUAAUAUAUUGAACCGCAUGGUUCAAUAGUGAAAGACGGUUGUGCUGUCACUUAUAGAUGGAUCCGCGCCGCAUUAGAUAGUUGGUAAGGUAACGGCUUACCAAGGCAACGAUGCGUAGCCGACCUGAGAGGGUGAUCGGCCACACUGGAACUGAGACACGGUCCAGACUCCUACGGGAGGCAGCAGUAGGGAAUCUUCCGCAAUGGGCGAAAGCCUGACGGAGCAACGCCGCGUGAGUGAUGAAGGUCUUCGGAUCGUAAAACUCUGUUAUUAGGGAAGAACAAAUGUGGAAGUAACUAUGCACGGCUUGACGGUAACUAAUCAGAAAGCCACGGCUAACUACGUG